RNAcentral lists this ribosomal RNA (413 nucleotides) under Lacerta viridis (green lizard). RNAcentral describes it as "partial 16S ribosomal RNA". It matches the Rfam family "Bacterial large subunit ribosomal RNA", at positions 1851 to 2515 of the family's 2925-position model. Lineage: Eukaryota; Metazoa; Chordata; Lepidosauria; Squamata; Lacertidae. The record is from RNAcentral.
GGUCUCGCCUGCCCAGUGACUCUUUAAACGGCCGCGGUAUCCUAACCGUGCAAAGGUAGCAUAAUCACUUGUCCCCUAAAUAGGGACUGGCAUGAAUGGCUAAAUGAGGACUAAACUGUCUCUUGCGGACUGGCCAAUGAAAUUGAUUUUCCAGUACAAAAGCUGGAAUGUACCCAUAAGACGAGAAGACCCUGUGGAGCUUAAAAACCAAAUCACCCAGCAUGCUCAUUGGAUUUUUAGUUGGGGCGACUUCGGAAUAUAAUAAAACUUCCAAAAUAAAUUAAUUACAUCAAGAUUAACAUAUCAAAAUUUCUUUGUAGAUCCAGCAACUAAUUUUAUUUGUCUGAUCAAUGAACCAAGUUACCCCAGGGAUAACAGCGCAAUCUCCUUUUAGAGUCCAUAUCGACAAGGGG